UACGGGGGGGGCAAGCGUUGUUCGGAAUUACUGGGCGUAAAGGGUGCGUAGGCGGCUUUCUAAGUUGGAUGUGAAAACUAUGGGCUCAACCCAUAGCCUGCAUCCAAAACUGGAGAGCUUGGGUUCUGGAGGGGAGAGCGGAAUUCCUGGUGUAGCGGUGAAAUGCGUAGAUAUCAGGAGGAACACCGGUGGCGAAGGCGGCUUUCUGGACAGAUACCGACGCUGAGGCACGAAAGCUAGGGGAGCAAACAGG
RNAcentral lists this ribosomal RNA (253 nucleotides) under uncultured bacterium. RNAcentral's name for it is "partial 16S ribosomal RNA". It matches the Rfam family "Bacterial small subunit ribosomal RNA", at positions 524 to 776 of the family's 1533-position model. The record is from RNAcentral.